This 73-nucleotide transfer RNA is filed under the name Ursus americanus (American black bear). It matches the Rfam family "tRNA". From Rfam's summary of the family: Transfer RNA (tRNA) molecules are approximately 80 nucleotides in length. Their secondary structure includes four short double-helical elements and three loops (D, anti-codon, and T loops). The record is from Rfam by way of RNAcentral. Lineage: Eukaryota; Metazoa; Chordata; Mammalia; Carnivora; Ursidae. RNAcentral also lists the same sequence under 2 other names.
GCCUGGCUGGCUCAGUUGGUGGAGCAUGUGACUCUUGAUCUCAGGGUUGUGGGUUCGAGCCCCAUGUUGGGCA